CAAGUCGACGGCAGCACGGGAGCUUGCUCCUGGUGGCGAGUGGCGGACGGGUGAGUAACACGUAGGAAUCUGCCUAGUAGUGGGGGAUAACUUGGGGAAACUCAAGCUAAUACCGCAUACGCUCUACGGAGGAAAGCGGGGGAUCUUUGGACCUCGCGCUAUUAUAUGAGCCUGCGUCCGAUUAGCUAGUUGGUGGGGUAAAGGCCCACCAAGGCGACGAUCGGUAGCUGGUCUGAGAGGACGAUCAGCCACACUGGAACUGAGACACGGUCCAGACUCCUACGGGAGGCAGCAGUGGGGAAUAUUGGACAAUGGGCGCAAGCCUGAUCCAGCAAUGCCGCGUGUGUGAAGAAGGCCUGCGGGUUGUAAAGCACUUUAAGCAGGGAAGAAUGGACGAAGGUUAAUACCCUUGGUCAGUGACGUUACCUGCAGAAUAAGCACCGGCUAACUCCGUGCCAGCAGCCGCGGUAAUACGGAGGGUGCGAGCGUUAAUCGGAAUUACUGGGCGUAAAGCGCGCGUAGGCGGUUGGCUAAGUUUGCUGUGAAAGCCCCGGGCUUAACCUGGGAACUGCAGUGAAUACUGGUCGGCUAGAGUAUGGUAGAGGGUAGUGGAAUUUCCGGUGUAGCAGUGAAAUGCGUAGAGAUCGGAAGGAACACCAGUGGCGAAGGCGGCUAUCUGGACCAAUACUGACGCUGAGGUGCGAAAGCGUGGGGAGCAAACAGGAUUAGAUACC
RNAcentral lists this ribosomal RNA (734 nucleotides) under uncultured Gammaproteobacteria bacterium. Its description in RNAcentral is "bacterial SSU rRNA". It matches the Rfam family "Bacterial small subunit ribosomal RNA", at positions 58 to 786 of the family's 1533-position model. Lineage: Bacteria; Pseudomonadati; Pseudomonadota; Gammaproteobacteria. The record is from RNAcentral.